GAUGAACGCUAGCGACAGGCUUAACACAUGCAAGUCGAGGGGAAACGGCAUUGAGUGCUUGCACUCUUUGGACGUCGACCGGCGCACGGGUGAGUAACGCGUAUCCAACCUUCCCAUUACUGUGGGAUAACCUGCCGAAAGGCAGACUAAUACCGCAUAGUCUUCGAUGACGGCAUCAGAUUUGAAGUAAGUUUUUUUCGCUAAGGGUGGGGUUGCGUCUGAUUGGGCUGUUGGCAGGGGUACCGCCCACCAAGGGUACGAACAGGACGGGUUCUGAGAGGAAGGUCCCCCACAUUGGAACUGAGACACGGUCCAAACUGCUACGGGGGGCAGCAGUGAGGAAUAUUGGGCAAUGGACGGAAGUCUGAACCAGCCAAGUAGCGGGCAGGAUGACGGCCCUAUGGAUUGUAAGCUGCUUUUGUAUAGGGAUAAAGUUAGGGACGUGUCCCUAUUUGCAGGUACCAUACGAAUAAGGACCGGCUAAUUCCGUG
RNAcentral lists this ribosomal RNA (491 nucleotides) under uncultured bacterium. Its description in RNAcentral is "partial 16S ribosomal RNA". It matches the Rfam family "Bacterial small subunit ribosomal RNA", at positions 28 to 507 of the family's 1533-position model. The record is from RNAcentral.